CUGCGGGCUACUGACUAGGCGCAAAACUAGCUAACUAUGAGGAAGGGACAGACAUUUACUCCCUUGGCAUAAGUGACAGGAUCUGUUAUUCUGGCAGGAAGUGAUACCAUGGGGUGGGUAGGCUUAGGGACAGGAAAGAACAGCCUCCAAUUCUUGCUGGAAUGGCAGAAUUCCGGCAUGUCCUUGGAGAUCACCUAGUCCAGAAACAGUUUUAUUCGUUCAUGGAUUCACUCACUCUCUCAACCAACAUCCAUGGAGCAUCUGCGCUGGGCAGGAGACCUGCUAGGGGCUGAGCUGGCCCUGCGACUUCUUGAGGAUUGUUCCAGGAAACACACUUAAGACACCUGGGCUCAAGGACACUGACCUGUCCAGACGCGAACACGAUCCAGGUGGGGCCAAUGACUCAGUGCCCCCAUCCCAGCCCCAUCACACCAGGAAGAUGGAACAGAUGGACCACUGGGCCCAGGGUAAUCAGGGCUUGGAAUGGGGGCCUGAUUACCUGUCCAUGGAACAUUGAUUUAUAGGUCAUUCUUCUUCUCCUCCAAGACUCUGGAUUGCAGCUAAUUUACCGACAGUCUUAAAUCAUCCCCCAACAGGCAGUGGUGAAAUCCGAGGCACCGUCUAUCAUGGGCCUCCUGUAACCACUGCCUUGAUUAAAAUGAGGGUGGUGAGAAUAUCCUCCUUUGUGCCGAGGGUGGGGCUCACACAGGAACUGGCAGUGUCGUUUAUCCAGAGAUGGUGGCAGCCGACACACGGCUCACUUAAUUUCAUGUUUGACUGCUGACGGGUUUUCAUUUAUAGAUAAUAUAAACAGGUUGACAGGGCCCUAAUUAACUGAUUUGUGGUCCUUUGGGAACAAAAUGCUUAUUAAUAUUCAUAAACAUUUGUAGCACUUAGGCAGAUGCCCGGCCCUGACAUGAUCAUAAUAUGUCAGCAACAGUGAGCUCCCGUGAUAUCUGAUUUGUCCCUUUCCUGUGGACCCCAGAGAGCUUUGUCUGACCAUGGUCCCUCUCCAGGAGGUGGGUCCAGCUCUUGAUCCCGGCAUUAGUGCAUGAUUUACCAAUCACAUCUUGAACUUUCCACAAUCCUUUUUUCUCCCCAGAUGUCCUUGACCCAACCUUCCUCCAAUCCCACCCCUGAAUCUUUUUUGAGAUCAGCUGAGAACUUCCUCCUCCAGGAAGUCCUCCUGGAUUGAUCUCUCACUACAGUGAUGCCAUCUUUCCAUAUCAGAGUUACUUAGUGCAGUGUAAUUGUUUACAUGAGGGUAAUUGUUUGCUGUUUGAUGUUCUUAGGUUAUUUUAUCCAAGAAUGUUCUGCCUUAUGAACUUUCCUCAAAAUCAGGGAUAAAUCUAUUUCUUCCUUUAGCAGUAGAGCCUCACCUUCUGCAAUGCCAUUCGUGCCAUGGAAAUUAAAGAACAAACAAAACAGCAGCAGCUAGCAUCUACUGGACUCUUCAUUACAUGCCAGGAAAUACGCCAAGCCUCUUACCCGCUUUUUUCACCUCAGUACUGGGAGGCAGGUGCAAGAGUCUUCACCAUUUUCUAGAUUAAAAAACUGAGACGCAGAGAGGCCCAGUAACUCGCUCAAGACCACAGAUCAGUGAGUGGCAUAGUCAAAAUUAGUCUUAAAAAUUCCCUCAAGUACUCAUAAGGUCCAGUAUAUAUGGUCAAGUGCACUGACUUUAAAACUUUAUUUAACUCUAACGCGUAGCAUGAAAUGUAUCUUUCCCUGUGAUCUGGUACACACUCGUGCAUAGGCACACACACAUGUGGACAGACACACGUGAUGGAAUUGACAAGCCUCUUAAAGCAAUAUUUAUUAUAUGAUGUGUAAAAUAUCCUACUGUCUUCUCCCCUAUUCCAU
Molecule: non-coding RNA, 1863 nt
Organism: Chlorocebus sabaeus (green monkey)
Lineage: Eukaryota; Metazoa; Chordata; Mammalia; Primates; Cercopithecidae
Source: RefSeq, a predicted model, not a curated record